RNAcentral lists this ribosomal RNA (702 nucleotides) under Micrococcus sp. RNAcentral's name for it is "bacterial SSU rRNA". It matches the Rfam family "Bacterial small subunit ribosomal RNA", at positions 72 to 789 of the family's 1533-position model. Lineage: Bacteria; Bacillati; Actinomycetota; Actinomycetes; Micrococcales; Micrococcaceae. The record is from RNAcentral.
AGCCCAGCUUGCUGGGUGGAUUAGUGGCGAACGGGUGAGUAACACGUGAGUAACCUGCCCUUGACUCUAGGAUAAGCCCGGGAAACUGGGUCUAAUACUGGAUAGGAACGUCUACCGCAUGGUGGAUGUUGGAAAGAAUUUCGGUCAUGGAUGGACUCGCGGCCUAUCAGCUUGUUGGUGAGGUAAUGGCUCACCAAGGCGACGACGGGUAGCCGGCCUGAGAGGGUGACCGGCCACACUGGGACUGAGACACGGCCCAGACUCCUACGGGAGGCAGCAGUGGGGAAUAUUGCACAAUGGGCGAAAGCCUGAUGCAGCGACGCCGCGUGAGGGAUGACGGCCUUCGGGUUGUAAACCUCUUUCAGUAGGGAAGAAGCGAAAGUGACGGUACCUGCAGAAGAAGCACCGGCUAACUACGUGCCAGCAGCCGCGGUAAUACGUAGGGUGCGAGCGUUAUCCGGAAUUAUUGGGCGUAAAGAGCUCGUAGGCGGUUUGUCGCGUCUGUCGUGAAAGUCCGGGGCUUAACCCCGGAUCUGCGGUGGGUACGGGCAGACUAGAGUGCAGUAGGGGAGACUGGAAUUCCUGGUGUAGCGGUGGAAUGCGCAGAUAUCAGGAGGAACACCGAUGGCGAAGGCAGGUCUCUGGGCUGUAACUGACGCUGAGGAGCGAAAGCAUGGGGAGCGAACAGGAUUAGAUACCCUG